AGUACGUGAAACUGCUUAGAGGUUAAACCCGAUGAACCUGAAUAUCCAUUAUGGAAAAUUCAAUACUAAUUUAAUAAUAUAUAUCAUAUUAUUUAAAUGGUGUGCAAUUUUUCCAUAUAAGGACAUUGUAAUCUGUUAAUGUAAAUAAAUAUUUAUCAAAAGAUUCUUUACAAUAAGUUUAUUCAAAUUGUUUAUUUUUUUGAAUAUUCAACAUAAAAUAAAUGUAUUGAAUUGGAUAAAUCAUUGACAGAUAUAAUUAUAUAAUGUGCUUAAAUUUAUUUUAUAUGAAUUUAGCAAUGAUAGAUAAAUCUAUAUGAUUUGUUUAUUUAUUUGCCUGCGCUAUUAUGAUUAACAAUGCGAUAGAUUCAGGAUACCUUCGGGACCCGUCUUGAAACACGGACCAAGGAGUCUAACAUAUGUGCAAGUCAUUGGGUAUUUAUAAUAAAACCCAAUGGCAUAAUUAACUUAACUUUUAUAAAAAUGGGAUUAAUUUAUAAUUUUUAAAAAAUUAUUUAUUCAAUCCCGGGGCGUUCUAUAUAGUUAUGUAUAAUAAUAUUUAUAUUAUUUAUACCUCUAACUAGAGCGUACCUUGAGC
RNAcentral lists this ribosomal RNA (595 nucleotides) under Ocyptamus sp. 3 XM-2008. Its description in RNAcentral is "eukaryotic LSU rRNA". The record is from RNAcentral. Lineage: Eukaryota; Metazoa; Arthropoda; Insecta; Diptera; Syrphidae.